Molecule: ribosomal RNA, 555 nt
Filed under: Vibrio sp. a157
Lineage: Bacteria; Pseudomonadati; Pseudomonadota; Gammaproteobacteria; Vibrionales; Vibrionaceae
Description: bacterial SSU rRNA
Rfam family: Bacterial small subunit ribosomal RNA
Source: RNAcentral
CACUGGACUGAGACACGGUCCAGACUCCUACGGGAGGCAGCAGUGGGGAAUAUUGCACAAUGGGCGAAAGCCUGAUGCAGCCAUGCCGCGUGUAUGAAGAAGGCCUUCGGGUUGUAAAGUACUUUCAGUUGUGAGGAAGGGGGUAGCGUUAAUAGCGCUAUCUCUUGACGUUAGCAACAGAAGAAGCACCGGCUAACUCCGUGCCAGCAGCCGCGGUAAUACGGAGGGUGCGAGCGUUAAUCGGAAUUACUGGGCGUAAAGCGCAUGCAGGUGGUUCAUUAAGUCAGAUGUGAAAGCCCGGGGCUCAACCUCGGAACUGCAUUUGAAACUGGUGAACUAGAGUACUGUAGAGGGGGGUAGAAUUUCAGGUGUAGCGGUGAAAUGCGUAGAGAUCUGAAGGAAUACCAGUGGCGAAGGCGGCCCCCUGGACAGAUACUGACACUCAGAUGCGAAAGCGUGGGGAGCAAACAGGAUUAGAUACCCUGGUAGUCCACGCCGUAAACGAUGUCUACUUGGAGGUUGUGGCCUUGAGCCGUGGCUUUCGGAGCUAACGCG